This 563-nucleotide ribosomal RNA is filed under the name uncultured bacterium. RNAcentral describes it as "bacterial SSU rRNA". It matches the Rfam family "Bacterial small subunit ribosomal RNA", at positions 338 to 915 of the family's 1533-position model. The record is from RNAcentral.
CCUACGGGAGGCAGCAGUGGGGAAUAUUGGGCAAUGGAGGAAACUCUGACCCAGCGACGCCGCGUGCGGGAUGAAGGCCUUCGGGUUGUAAACCGCUUUCAGCAGGGAAGAAGCGAAAGUGACGGUACCUGCAGAAGAAGCACCGGCUAACUAUGUGCCAGCAGCCGCGGUAAUACAUAGGGUGCAAGCGUUGUCCGGAAUUAUUGGGCGUAAAGAGCUCGUAGGUGGUUCGUCACGUCGGAUGUGAAAAUCUGGGGCUUAACCCCAGACCUGCAUUCGAUACGGGCGAGCUUGAGUAUGGUAGGGGAGUCUGGAAUUCCUGGUGUAGCGGUGGAAUGCGCAGAUAUCAGGAGGAACACCAAUGGCGAAGGCAGGACUCUGGGCCAUUACUGACACUGAGGAGCGAAAGCGUGGGGAGCGAACAGGAUUAGAUACCCUGGUAGUCCACGCCGUAAACGGUGGGCACUAGUUGUGGGGACCUUCCACGGUCUCUGCGACGCAGCUAACGCAUUAAGUGCCCCGCCUGGGGAGUACGAUCGCAGNUAAAACUCAAGGAAUUGAGG